CCUUUGCGCAGGCGCAAAGAUCAACCCAGACGCCGUGCACUCAGACGCCGAGUCUACGUAGGCGCUGGGACUGCGCAGGCGCAGGGGUCUGCGCAGGCGCGUGGCGUCGGACUUCCCUAGAGCGGGCUUGGACUCCAGCUGAACCCGGAAAGUUCCCGCGGGCGGACGCGGACAGAUUCAGUGUCACGGAUCCAGCACCAACUUGGCUGCAGCUGAGCAUCUGAAACCGCCAAGUACCUGCUGACAUCCCAGGAAGGAAGUAGCUGUGUGACCUUCUCAUCAUCACAAAACAGAGGCUCUACAGCCAUUGGAUCUUCUUCUAAGUUAUCAGGGGAGGCAGGAGGCGACCCCAUCCUCAGGAGAUUGACAGCCUACCUGCGGAGA
Molecule: long non-coding RNA, 384 nt
Organism: Prionailurus viverrinus (fishing cat)
Lineage: Eukaryota; Metazoa; Chordata; Mammalia; Carnivora; Felidae
Exons: 3
Source: RefSeq, a predicted model, not a curated record